Molecule: long non-coding RNA, 764 nt
Filed under: Chinchilla lanigera (long-tailed chinchilla)
Lineage: Eukaryota; Metazoa; Chordata; Mammalia; Rodentia; Chinchillidae
Description: lncRNA (ENSCLAG00000022254.1)
Source: RNAcentral
AAGAGGACCAGCGAUCCGUAGUCGGCCUCCAAGUUGACCUGAUGAAAGACCCUCAGGAAUGCCAGAAUAUUUGAAAGAAAAUUUAACAUAUCAGUUAAUUCCUUUGUUAAAUACUGUGGUAUAUAUGAAUAACAGAAAAUUAAAAUAUAACAACUGUGCAAACUCCACAACCUAUGUAAAUCCCUAGUUUUAUAGGAUUGAUAAGAUUAACUAGGAUGAUCUGAUUUUGAAGAGGUCCAAAUUUUCCACUAAGAAGUAUGAACGUCACCCAAUAAUGACCAGAAAAACUAUGGCAUUUUAUGAGCUUCUAUGCACACAUGAAAAUUCUGGAAUAAGUUUUUCAGCAAGAUAGACUCUGGAAAUAAAUCAUGUCCACUGCAGAAAAUGAUUCAGAAAAAGUUCUUAGACUUCUUGUGUUUCCAGCUAGAGACGUGUGUGUGGGAAUGUAUCAGACAUGUGUGAAAGGACCCCGAAGUUCAUUCAGGCCACAGUGACUGAUCUGUGAACACUGAACAGAGAUGGGUUCAAAACUGUAGCUCUGUCGUGCGGAAAUAACUCCAUGUUUGUUGAGUACUUUGUUUAGUAGCCUGCACUGAAUGCAGUUGUAUACCCUGGAGUAAAUUAUCCAGAGUUAUAGAAAAUGGAAUACUAGAGUUGAUUGCUCAAGUAAAAUCUGCUCAUCCAAAUCUGGAGGGUGUAGAGGACAUGGCUUGCACUUUAGAUAUGACAGAUGUCCUCAUGAGGAUAAUCCCACAAUCCUAGAA